ACUAAUCAAUAAGCACACAUAUUAGCCUCCAUGCACAAAGGAAGUGGACCAGAUAGAAUAACUAAGCAUAGACUUUCAAACAUCCACAAUAAUAGCUUCAAUCUCCUAAGGAACAUGGCUUACAGACAUUAACAGAUUAGAUAGAAUGAGAGAAUCCGUCUCAAACACUACUGAGAUAAAUCUCUUAGCAAAUUGGAAAACAAAUCUCAGAGCCAUACUACUGGCUAGGAUACCUGCACUACCAUUAACAAAAUUAUCAAGAUGGUUUUUG
Molecule: unclassified non-coding RNA, 271 nt
Filed under: Hevea brasiliensis (rubber tree)
Lineage: Eukaryota; Viridiplantae; Streptophyta; Magnoliopsida; Malpighiales; Euphorbiaceae
Source: RNAcentral